Molecule: ribosomal RNA, 112 nt
Filed under: Caerostris darwini
Lineage: Eukaryota; Metazoa; Arthropoda; Arachnida; Araneae; Araneidae
Source: RNAcentral
AACGGCCGUACCAUGCUGAAUAUACCGGUUCUCGUUCGAUCACCGAAGUCAAGCAGCAUUGGGCGCGGUCAGUACUUGGGUGGGUGACCACCUGGGAACACCGCGUGCCGUU